Small nuclear RNA from Hyaena hyaena (striped hyena), 104 nucleotides. The record is from RefSeq and is a predicted model, not a curated record. NCBI's taxonomy places the organism in Eukaryota, Metazoa, Chordata, Mammalia, Carnivora, Hyaenidae.
GUGCUCAUUUCAGCAGCACAUAUAACUAAAAUUGGAAUGAUACAGAGAAGAUUAGCAUGGCCCCUGCGCAAGGAUGACACACAAAUGAAGUUGUCUAACCAUUG